Chlorocebus sabaeus (green monkey) is the source of this 928-nucleotide non-coding RNA. Lineage: Eukaryota; Metazoa; Chordata; Mammalia; Primates; Cercopithecidae. The record is from RefSeq and is a predicted model, not a curated record.
ACGCGGCCCCGGGGAGCGGCGGGCGGGCGAAGCAAGUUCCUUAGUUUCUCCCAAGCCCGGGAACUGUUGGACGGGCGGGAGCGCCGGGCUACCUGGAAGGCGUCUCCGGGUUUCGCGAGCGCCACAGAGCUUUCCUGCAGCCGCUAAAUAAAUAAAUAACUACGGACGCUCGCCCCGCCCCGGCCCGCCCGUCCCCGCCCAUCCCCGCCCCGGCCAGCCCCGGCCAGCCCCGGCCAGCCCUGCCCAGCUCGGCUCAGCCCGGCUCAGCCCAGCUCCCUGGCCGCGGCGGCGGCGCAGCCAGGGCUGGGCGCUCGGGGAGCUCCGCGCGCGGGGCAGCUUCCCCGUGACCGGCGGCCGCGCAGCUCAGGGAACUCAGCUCCGUGAGGCUUCCGGGAGAGGGGAAAGGCUGUUCUUUGAUGCUCUUUGGUUUUACAGUGGAAAACUACAAUUAAAAAAACAUAGCCAUGAAAAUAAGUGAGAUUAGAACCUGCCGGCUUCACUUCCUGGAGGCUUUUUGUUGUGUCUUGAAACUAGGAUCUUUGCGGGUCAUCCCUGCUUUGAUCAAAAUCAACCAUUCCUUUCCAAAAUUCAGAAGCUUCCACAACAAGUUGAUACAUUUUAUCAUUUCCCAUGUCUGAAUUACUUCCUGUUGAGAACAUGAACUGGAUUAAUAGAAAUUCCUCAGGAAAAAAAAUUCAAACACCAAGGAUCUCACUUUGUGCUGUGAAAUGCAAGAUGAGCAAUCUGAUCUGGAUAUAAUAUCAGUCUUCAGUCAGGCAGCAGGUGAAUAUGCAGGUAGAAUUAUAAUGUGUAAGGCCGGGCGCGGUAGCUCACGUCUGUAAUCUGAGCACUUUGGGAGACCAACGGCAGGCGGAUCACUUGAGGUCAGGAGUUCGAGACUAGCAAGGCCAACAUGGUGAAACCUCGC